CCUACGGGAUGCAGCAGUGAGGAAUAUUGGUCAAUGGUCGGGAGACUGAACCAGCCAAGCCGCGUGCGGGAGGACGGUUCUGUGUGUUGUAAACUGCUUUUGUCAGAGGAUAAAGCUGGGUACGUGUCUUCGGCUGAAUGUACCUUACGAAUAAGGAUCGGCUAACUCCGUGCCAGCAGCCGCGGUAAUCCGGAGGAUCCAAGCGUUAUCCGGAUUUAUUGGGUUUAAAGGUGGCGUAGGCGGCCUUUUAAGUCAGCGGGGAAAGUCUGUGGAUCAACCCUGGAAUUGCCGUUGAACCUGGGGGGCUGGAGUAGGUGUGAGGCAGGCGGAAUGCGUGGGGUAGCGGUGAAAUGCAUAGAUAUCGCGCAGAACCCCGAUUGCGAAGGCAGCAUGCCAAGUCAUGACUGACGCUGAGGCACGAAAGCGUGGGGAUCAAACAGGAUUAGAUACCCGAGUAGUC
RNAcentral lists this ribosomal RNA (460 nucleotides) under uncultured bacterium. RNAcentral's name for it is "partial 16S ribosomal RNA". It matches the Rfam family "Bacterial small subunit ribosomal RNA", at positions 338 to 795 of the family's 1533-position model. The record is from RNAcentral.